Molecule: ribosomal RNA, 520 nt
Filed under: uncultured Glomus
Lineage: Eukaryota; Fungi; Glomeromycota; Glomeromycetes; Glomerales; Glomeraceae
Description: SSU rRNA
Rfam family: Eukaryotic small subunit ribosomal RNA
Source: RNAcentral
AGCAGCCGCGGUAAUUCCAGCUCCAAUAGCGUAUAUUAAAGUUGUUGCAGUUAAAAAGCUCGUAGUUGAAUUUCGAGACCGGCUUACUGGUCGUGCUUUUGUACGUACUGGUAUAAUCGGUUUCUCCUUUCUGACGAACUAUAAUGCCAUUAAUUUGGUGUUAUAGGGAAUCAGGACUGUUACUUUGAAAAAAUUAGAGUGUUUAAAGCAGGCUCACGCUUGAAUACAUUAGCAUGGAAUAACGGAAUAGGACGUUUGAUUCUAUUUUGUUGGUUUCUAGGAUCGACGUAAUGAUUAAUAGGGAUAGUUGGGGGCAUUAGUAUUCAAUUGUCAGAAGUGAAAUUCUUGGAUUUAUUGAAGACUAACUACUGCGAAAGCAUUUGCCAAGGAUGUUUUCAUUAAUCAAGAACGAAAGUUAGGGGAUCGAAGACGAUCAGAUACCGUCGUAGUCUUAACCAUAAACUAUGCCGACUAGGGAUCGGAUGAUGUAAUUUUUAAUGACUCAUUCGGCGCCUUACGG